This 527-nucleotide ribosomal RNA is filed under the name uncultured bacterium. RNAcentral's name for it is "bacterial SSU rRNA". It matches the Rfam family "Bacterial small subunit ribosomal RNA", at positions 777 to 1302 of the family's 1533-position model. The record is from RNAcentral.
AAUAGAUACCCUGGUAGUCCACGCCGUAAACGAUGAGUGCUAAGUGUUAGAGGGUUUCCGCCCUUUAGUGCUGCAGCUAACGCAUUAAGCACUCCGCCUGGGGAGUACGGCCGCAAGGCUGAAACUCAAAGGAAUUGACGGGGGCCCGCACAAGCGGUGGAGCAUGUGGUUUAAUUCGAAGCAACGCGAAGAGCCUUACCAGGUCUUGACAUCCUCUGACAACCCUAGAGAUAGGGCUUUCCCCUUCGGGGGACAGAGUGACAGGUGGUGCAUGGUUGUCGUCAGCUCGUGUCGUGAGAUGUUGGGUUAAGUCCCGCAACGAGCGCAACCCUUGAUCUUAGUUGCCAGCAUUCAGUUGGGCACUCUAAGGUGACUGCCGGUGACAAACCGGAGGAAGGUGGGGAUGACGUCAAAUCAUCAUGCCCCUUAUGACCUGGGCUACACACGUGCUACAAUGGAUGGUACAAAGGGCUGCAAACCUGCGAGGGUAAGCGAAUCCCAUAAAGCCAUUCUCAGUUCGGAUUGCA